This is a non-coding RNA of Nelumbo nucifera (sacred lotus), 767 nucleotides long. Lineage: Eukaryota; Viridiplantae; Streptophyta; Magnoliopsida; Proteales; Nelumbonaceae. The record is from RefSeq and is a predicted model, not a curated record.
AGUCCAAACACAUGCAGAAGUUGUCGCCACCUCAAUGUUUGUACUAUCUAUCAUUAGAUUCAAUCUCAUGCAACUGUUUUCCCAAAGUGCACAAAGUUCUCAUCACCUAAGGAAGAUGAUUGUUGAUCUUGAGUUUUUUAGCUGAUUCCUUUCGGGCACCUAGGUUUGAUAAAUUCAGUCAGGAUCCUGCAAUAUCUUAUGUGCGGUCGGAGAAAAGAUUAAACAAUGAUCAGCGAAGAGCCAUCCAAAAGAUACUUACAGCAAAGGAUUAUGCUCUUAUUCUUGGAAUGCCUGGAACAGGCAAGACAUCCACUAUGGUUAAUGCUGUGAAGGCAUUGCUAAUGAGAGGUGCAUCUAUUUUGCUGACAUCAUAUACAAACUCAGCUGUUGAUAAUUUGCUUAUCAAAUUGAAAGCUCAGCAAAUACCCCUUGUCCAUUAUCCUAGUUGGAGUUGGAGAUGGCCCUUGGGACAUGAUGAGGGAAUUUAAUGACAACAUCUUUGCUUGAGCCUUUGAUAAUUUCCAGGAAUGAGACAUGCUCCAAGUAUUCUAUCACAAGACAGUUACAUGUAAAGUAAAGUUAGAGCUCUUCAAGAUGUGGAAUCAACCUCUCAAGCUAUUCAUCAUUUUCAACCAAUUCAUUACAAUGGUUACUUAACCCAAGACAUAGCUUUAGAUGUGGGUGGAUACAUUGAACCAAAUUUCUAUGUGUUAAUUGUAUUAUUUAUGAUAGAAGUUCGAAAAUUGUAUUAUAUAUUUAACACAUUU